This is a non-coding RNA of Takifugu rubripes (torafugu), 75 nucleotides long. The record is from Rfam. NCBI's taxonomy places the organism in Eukaryota, Metazoa, Chordata, Actinopteri, Tetraodontiformes, Tetraodontidae.
GUGUUCUAUCCUUCAUUCCACCGGAGUCUGUAUGUGUAUUUAACCAGAUUUCAGUGGUGUGAAGUGUAAGAGACA